Long non-coding RNA from Diceros bicornis minor, 514 nucleotides. RefSeq lists it as uncharacterized. Lineage: Eukaryota; Metazoa; Chordata; Mammalia; Perissodactyla; Rhinocerotidae. The record is from RefSeq and is a predicted model, not a curated record. The transcript is spliced from 2 exons.
CAUCCAGUUUGACAGAGCUCUUAUUCUCUAACACCCAUCAGAGAAAAGGUGAGGACCCGGCAGAUGCGGCCUGUUUACAGAACACCAGCAGGCCUGAGGCGACUUUUCCAGAGCCAUCUGCCCCCAAAGAGGUCCUCACCUGGGCUCCAGGCAGCUUCCUGGGGAGCCCCAGGCUACGAGCGAUACUGAUCCGGCUGAUGGCCACCUCUCUAGACAGCCCCACCGGGAGCAACCAGUUGUCCAGGGAAUUUGAGACAGCAGUUACAGAACAGGGCACUACAGUUCCCUAACUCUGGGAGAAAUCUUCAUCAGCCACAAGAGUUCCUUGAGUGUUCUGUGCCCCACAAAGGAACAGAAGAGCCUUAUGAAGAAAACUGAGGCCUGGAGAACCACUGAUGAAACACAAAAGAACCACAGGAAGCUUGAAGGGGGAAGUCCAAAAACACGGCUUUAAAGAUUUGUUUAAAGGAAGUAAAAGUACCCUUUAAAUAAAAUAUAUUAAUGUUGAAACUAU